GCUGGGUGUGGUGGUGUGCACCUGUAGUCCCAGCUACUCGGGAGGCUGAGGCAGAAGAAUUGCUUGAACCCGGGAAGCAGAGGUUUCAGUGAGCAGAGGUCACACCACUGCACUCCAGCCUGGGUGACAGAGCAAGACUCUGUCUCAA
This 148-nucleotide non-coding RNA is filed under the name Chlorocebus sabaeus (green monkey). The record is from Rfam by way of RNAcentral. Lineage: Eukaryota; Metazoa; Chordata; Mammalia; Primates; Cercopithecidae.